Molecule: ribosomal RNA, 476 nt
Filed under: Helicobacter pylori
Lineage: Bacteria; Pseudomonadati; Campylobacterota; Epsilonproteobacteria; Campylobacterales; Helicobacteraceae
Description: bacterial LSU rRNA
Rfam family: Bacterial large subunit ribosomal RNA
Source: RNAcentral
AAAGAGUCCCUCCCGACUGUUCACCAAAAACACAGCACUUUGCCAACUCGUAAGAGGAAGUAUAAGGUGUGACGCCUGCCCGGUGCUCGAAGGUUAAGAGGAUGCGUCAGUCGCAAGAUGAAGCGUUGAAUUGAAGCCCGAGUAAACGGCGGCCGUAACUAUAACGGUCCUAAGGUAGCGAAAUUCCUUGUCGGUUAAAUACCGACCUGCAUGAAUGGCGUAACGAGAUGGGAGCUGUCUCAACCAGAGAUUCAGUGAAAUUGUAGUGGAGGUGAAAAUUCCUCCUACCCGCGGCAAGACGGAAAGACCCCGUGGACCUUUACUACAACUUAGCACUGCUAAUGGGAAUAUCAUGCGCAGGAUAGGUGGGAGGCUUUGAAGUAAGGGCUUUGGCUCUUAUGGAGCCAUCCUUGAGAUACCACCCUUGAUGUUUCUGUUAGCUAACUGGCCUGUGUUAUCCACAGGCAGGACAAUGC